GCCUGGGUGGCUCAGUCGGUUGAGCAUCCGACUUUGGCUCAGGUCAUGAUCUCGCAGUCUGUGAGUUCGAGCCCCACGUCGGGCU
RNAcentral lists this transfer RNA (85 nucleotides) under Felis catus (domestic cat). It matches the Rfam family "tRNA". From Rfam's summary of the family: Transfer RNA (tRNA) molecules are approximately 80 nucleotides in length. Their secondary structure includes four short double-helical elements and three loops (D, anti-codon, and T loops). The record is from Rfam by way of RNAcentral. Lineage: Eukaryota; Metazoa; Chordata; Mammalia; Carnivora; Felidae.